RNAcentral lists this microRNA (22 nucleotides) under Petromyzon marinus (sea lamprey). RNAcentral describes it as "pma-let-7b-5p". Its record names the gene pma-let-7b-5p. The record is from miRBase by way of RNAcentral. Lineage: Eukaryota; Metazoa; Chordata; Hyperoartia; Petromyzontiformes; Petromyzontidae.
UGAGGUAGUAGGUUUUGUAGUU